GGUCCAUCCUUUUCUUGGAUAUUGCAGAAUGCUUACGAAAUUGAAUUUGAGUGGUUGUUGCAAACUUAAGAAGCUUUCAGAAUUGGUGGUUUCUCUCAUCUUUAUUUUUGAGCCACAAAAUAGAAUUGCAUAUUUCAUAGAAACAUUAUGGUUUAUAUUUUGUAUUUUUAUGGAUACAGAGAUUGAGCAAUUUGAAGCAUUUGGGUCUAAGCGGGUGUGGUGGGUUAACAGAAACCCCUAAUUUUUGUGAUAUGCCAAACUUGGAGACACUAAUUUUAUGGAAGUAGAUUGAGCAAUUUGAAGCGUUUAGAUUUAAGCUGGUGCAGUGGGUUAACAGAAACCCCUAAUUUUGGUGAUAUGCCAAAUUUGAAGACACUAAUUUUAUGGAAGUGUGAGAAUUUGGAAGAGCCCCAGACCCCACGAUGUGGGAUUUCACUGGGUUGUUGUUGUGAGAAUUUGGAAGAGGUCCAUCCUACUCUUGGACAUUACAGAAUGCUUACGAAAUUGAAUUUUAGUGGUUGUUACAAACUUAAGAAGCUUCCAGAAUUGAGAUUGAGCAAUUUGAAGCGUUUGGAUCUAAGUCGGUGCAGUGGGUUAACAGAAACCCCUAAUGUUGGUGAUAUGCCAAACUUGGAGACACUAAUUUUAUAGUGGUGUGAGAAUUUGGAAGAGGUCCAUCCUUCUCUUGGACAUUGCAGAAUGCUUACGAAAUUGAAUUUGAGUGGUUGUUACAAACUUAAGAAGCUUCCAGAAUUGGUGGAUUUCUCUCAUCUUUGUUUUUUACCCACAAAAUAGAAUUGUAUAUUUCAUAAAAACAUUAUGUUUCAUAUUUUGUAUUUUUAUGGAAACAAAGAUUGAGCAAUUUGAAGCGUUUGGAUCUAAGCUGGUGCAGUGGGUUAACAGAAACCCCUAAUUUUGGUGAUAUGCCAAACUUGGAUUUUAGAGGGGUGUGAGAAUUUGGAAGAGGUCCAUCCUUCUCUUGGACAGUGUAGAAUGUUUCCGCAAUUGCAUUUGAGUGAUUGUUGGAAACUUAAGAAGCCUCCAGAAUUGGUGGGUUUCUCUCAUCUUUAUUUUUUACCCACAAAAUAGAAUCGCAUAUUUCAUAAAAAAAAUUAUGUUUCAUAUUUUGUAUUUUUAUGGAAACAGAGAUUGAGCAAUUUGAAGAUUUUGGAUCUAAGCUGGUGCAGUGGGUUAACAGAAACCCCUAAUUUUGGUGAUAUGCCAAACUUGGAGACACUAAUUUUAGAAGGGUGUGAGAAUUUGGAAGAGGUCCGUCCUUCUCUUGGACAUUGUAGAAUGCUUACAGAAUUGAAACUGAGUGGUUGUUGCAAACUUAGGAAGCCUCCAGAAUUGGUGGGUUUCUCUCAUCUUUAUUUUUUACCCAACAAAUAGAAUCGCAUAUUUCAUAAAAACAUUAUGUUUCAUAUUUUGUAUUUUUAUGGAAACAAAGAUUGAGCAAUUUGAAGCAUUUGUAUCUAAGGGGGUGCGGUGAGUUAACAGAAACCCCCUAAUUUUGGUGAUAUGCCAAACUUGGAGACACUAAUUUUAGAGAGGUAUGAGAAUUUGGAAGAGGUCUUUCCUUCUCUUGGACAUUGCAAAAUGCUUACUUAUGUGAAUUUGUGUGAUUGUCGCAAACUUAAG
This is a long non-coding RNA of Lycium barbarum (goji berry), 1641 nucleotides long. RefSeq lists it as uncharacterized. The record is from RefSeq and is a predicted model, not a curated record. The transcript is spliced from 3 exons. Lineage: Eukaryota; Viridiplantae; Streptophyta; Magnoliopsida; Solanales; Solanaceae.